RNAcentral lists this ribosomal RNA (253 nucleotides) under uncultured bacterium. Its description in RNAcentral is "partial 16S ribosomal RNA". It matches the Rfam family "Bacterial small subunit ribosomal RNA", at positions 524 to 776 of the family's 1533-position model. The record is from RNAcentral.
UACGGAGGGUGCGAGCGUUAAUCGGAAUUACUGGGCGUAAAGCGUGCGCAGGCGGUUCUGAAAGUCAGCUGUGAAAGCCCCGGGCUUAACCUGGGAAUUGCGGUUGAAACUACAGGGCUAGAAUCUGGCAGAGGGGGGUGGAAUUCCACGUGUAGCAGUGAAAUGCGUAGAGAUGUGGAGGAACACCGAUGGCGAAGGCAGCCCCCUGGGCUGAGAUUGACGCUCAGGCACGAAAGCGUGGGGAGCAAACAGG